RNAcentral lists this signal recognition particle RNA (329 nucleotides) under Callithrix jacchus (white-tufted-ear marmoset). RNAcentral's name for it is "Metazoan signal recognition particle RNA (ENSCJAG00000081747.1)". It matches the Rfam family "Metazoan signal recognition particle RNA". From Rfam's summary of the family: The signal recognition particle (SRP) is a universally conserved ribonucleoprotein. Lineage: Eukaryota; Metazoa; Chordata; Mammalia; Primates; Cebidae. The record is from Rfam by way of RNAcentral.
GCUGGGCAUGGUGGCGUGUGCCUGUAAUCCCAGCUACUCAGGAGGCUGAGGCAGGAGAAUUGCCUGAACCCAGGAGGCGGAGGUUGCGGUGAGGCGAGAUCACGCCAUUGCACUCCAGCCUGGGUAACAAGGGAAACUGUGUCUCAAAAAAAAAAAAAAAAAAAUCAAAUUUGGGUAUUUUGUGGAGUGAAUUCAAUCGCAAGGUUGGUUUGUUUGUUUGUUUAUUGAGACGGAGUUUCACUCUGAUUACCCAGGCUGGAGUGCAAGUGGCGCGAUCUCGGCUCACAGCAACCUCCGCCUCCUGGGUUCAGGCAAUUCUCCCGCCUCAG